Molecule: ribosomal RNA, 253 nt
Filed under: uncultured bacterium
Lineage: Bacteria
Description: partial 16S ribosomal RNA
Rfam family: Bacterial small subunit ribosomal RNA
Source: RNAcentral
UACGGGGGGGGCAAGCGUUGUUCGGAAUUACUGGGCGUAAAGGGCUCGUAGGCGGCCAACUAAGUCAGACGUGAAAUCCCUCGGCUUAACCGGGGAACUGCGUCUGAUACUGGAUGGCUUGAGGUUGGGAGAGGGAUGCGGAAUUCCAGGUGUAGCGGUGAAAUGCGCAGAUAUCAGGAGGAACACCGAUGGCGAAGGCAGGUCUCUGGGCCACUACUGACGCUGAGAAGCGAAAGCAUGGGGAGCGAACAGG